This 468-nucleotide ribosomal RNA is filed under the name uncultured bacterium. RNAcentral's name for it is "partial 16S ribosomal RNA". It matches the Rfam family "Bacterial small subunit ribosomal RNA", at positions 29 to 508 of the family's 1533-position model. The record is from RNAcentral.
ACGAACGCUGGCGGCGUGCUUAACACAUGCAAGUCGAACGGAAAGGCCCUGCUUUUGUGGGGUGCUCGAGUGGCGAACGGGUGAGUAACACGUGAGUAACCUGCCCUUGACUUUGGGAUAACUUCAGGAAACUGGGGCUAAUACCGGAUAGGAGCUCCUGCUGCAUGGUGGGGGUUGGAAAGUUUCGGCGGUUGGGGAUGGACUCGCGGCUUAUCAGCUUGUUGGUGGGGUAGUGGCUUACCAAGGCUUUGACGGGUAGCCGGCCUGAGAGGGUGACCGGCCACAUUGGGACUGAGAUACGGCCCAGACUCCUACGGGAGGCAGCAGUGGGGAAUAUUGCACAAUGGGCGGAAGCCUGAUGCAGCAACGCCGCGUGCGGGAUGACGGCCUUCGGGUUGUAAACCGCUUUCGCCUGUGACGAAGCGUGAGUGACGGUAAUGGGUAAAGAAGCGCCGGCUAACUACGUGC